GUCCCUUUCGUCUAAAGGUUAGGACAUCACUCUUUCACGGUGAAAAUAUGAGUUCGAUUCUCAUAAGGGAUA
This 72-nucleotide transfer RNA is filed under the name Diphylleia rotans. Its description in RNAcentral is "tRNA-Glu". It matches the Rfam family "tRNA". Rfam says of the family: Transfer RNA (tRNA) molecules are approximately 80 nucleotides in length. Their secondary structure includes four short double-helical elements and three loops (D, anti-codon, and T loops). Further hydrogen bonds mediate the characteristic L-shaped molecular structure. tRNAs have two regions of fundamental functional importance: the anti-codon, which is responsible for specific mRNA codon recognition, and the 3' end, to which the tRNAs corresponding amino acid is attached (by aminoacyl-tRNA synthetases). tRNAs cope with the degeneracy of the genetic code in two manners: having more than one tRNA (with a specific anti-codon) for a particular amino acid; and 'wobble' base-pairing, i.e. permitting non-standard base-pairing at the 3rd anti-codon position. Lineage: Eukaryota; Collodictyonidae. The record is from RNAcentral.